UAAGAAGGAAGUAGCUUCCACAAUCCCAGCAGAUGAAGAUUCACUGGUAAAUCAAUCAGAAUUUUCGGCCUACGCUCCAAAGAAAAGGAUGUGUCGGAAUCACAAGAACGAAUUUUAAUGAGAUCCAGCAUACCUGUUUGGCCAGGUCAGAUUCUAGCAGGCUCAUGCUUGCUGCUCUGCUGCCAGUGUCUCAGAAGCCGCCGGGAAAACGCUCCUGUGUGUGAGGAAGGCUUGUUUUCUGGAGAGAGGCAAGAAGUCUUGGAGAGCACUGAAAGCGGAUUUUCCCUCUGGUUUUCAGUUUCCAUUUUCUACUCCCAACGACCUUCAGGUAGUGCGGUUAGGGUGUGCAGGAGUGCACACUGAGAGAAGCAGAGUCCCCAGGCUCCUUUCUUCAUCAAAAGAGAAUCUGAAUUAUAAGAUAGGAGGAUCUGAAUCUUUGCUCUCAGCUAUUGAUGAUAACCCUUAAAAUUGAAUGGCCUUAGGGGUGUAAAAAUUCUGUAUUUCUGGCAAGAAAGAUUGGGGAAAAUAGCACAUCUGAAAGGCAUUUGGAUUA
Molecule: non-coding RNA, 553 nt
Organism: Myodes glareolus (Bank vole)
Lineage: Eukaryota; Metazoa; Chordata; Mammalia; Rodentia; Cricetidae
Source: RefSeq, a predicted model, not a curated record